GAGUAGCUGGGACUACAGAACUCAUCCCAAGAACAGUAUCCAUAAGGAAGAUGGAAAAGGGGGACAGAAUAAAUGUUACCCUAAGAAGUCCAGAGCAACAUGGUACCUGAUUAGCUGUUUCCUCUUCUGGCUCCUGAAUAUUAAAGACAGUUGCACUGUCAGCACCUAGCAGUCGACGAGCCAUUCUUUCUUCGUAUGUUAACCUCUAAACAACAUUUAAACAACGGAAAAAGCCACUGAAGUAUGUAUAGUAUCUGUGCGCCGAGAUACACAGGAAAGCAUGGAACAUGUGGAUGGAAGGAACCGGG
This 308-nucleotide long non-coding RNA is filed under the name Homo sapiens (human). Its description in RNAcentral is "HSALNT0080573". Lineage: Eukaryota; Metazoa; Chordata; Mammalia; Primates; Hominidae. The record is from RNAcentral.